GACGAACGCUGGCGGCGUGCCUAAUACAUGCAAGUCGAACGAACGGAUUGAGGAGCUUGCUCUUCAUGAAGUUAGUGGCGGACGGGUGAGUAACACGUGGGUAACCUGCCCUUCAGUGGGGGAUAACAUCCGGAAACGACUGCUAAUACCGCAUGAUGUUUCGAGAGGGCAUCCUCUUGGAACCAAAGCUUUAUGUGCUGAAAGAUGGUCUCGCGUCUGAUUAGCUAGUUGGUGAGGUAACGGCUCACCAAGGCGACGAUCAGUAGCCGGUCUGAGAGGAUGAACGGCCACAUUGGGACUGAGAUACGGCCCAG
This 314-nucleotide ribosomal RNA is filed under the name uncultured bacterium. Its description in RNAcentral is "bacterial SSU rRNA". It matches the Rfam family "Bacterial small subunit ribosomal RNA", at positions 28 to 334 of the family's 1533-position model. The record is from RNAcentral.